UACGUAGGGUGCGAGCGUUAAUCGGAAUUACUGGGCGUAAAGCGUGCGCAGGCGGUCUGUUAAGACAGAUGUGAAAUCCCCGGGCUUAACCUGGGAACUGCAUUUGUGACUGGCAGGCUAGAGUAUGGCAGAGGGGGGUAGAAUUCCACGUGUAGCAGUGAAAUGCGUAGAGAUGUGGAGGAAUACCGAUGGCGAAGGCAGCCCCCUGGGCCAAUACUGACGCUCACGCACGAAAGCGUGGGGAGCAAACAGG
This 253-nucleotide ribosomal RNA is filed under the name uncultured bacterium. Its description in RNAcentral is "partial 16S ribosomal RNA". It matches the Rfam family "Bacterial small subunit ribosomal RNA", at positions 524 to 776 of the family's 1533-position model. The record is from RNAcentral.